GAUGAAGAACGUAGCGAAAUGCGAUAAGUAGUGUGAAUUGCAGAAUUCAGUGAAUCAUCGAAUCUUUGAACGCACAUUGCGCCUCCUGACAUUCCGGGAGGCAUGCCUGUUCGAGCGUCAUCAAAAACCCUCAAGUUCGAAUUUAUUCUUACUUGGCUUUGGACAUGGAGCUGCCUUUCACUGUUCCUGUCCGAAAUGCAUUGGCAAAGUGGCUUGGACCAUUAAGUGUAGUAAUCAACAUUAUGUUUCACUAUUGGACAAGCUAUGUUCUGCCCUUAAACCCCCCUCAAUCAAGUGUUUGACCUCGGAUCAGGUAGGGAUACCCGCUGAACUUAAGCAUAUCAAUAAGCGGAGGA
RNAcentral lists this unclassified non-coding RNA (356 nucleotides) under soil metagenome. Its description in RNAcentral is "partial contains 5.8S ribosomal RNA, internal transcribed spacer 2, and large subunit ribosomal RNA". The stretch from base 1 to 120 matches the Rfam family "5.8S ribosomal RNA", at positions 35 to 154 of the family's 154-position model. The record is from RNAcentral.